Molecule: ribosomal RNA, 1372 nt
Filed under: uncultured bacterium
Lineage: Bacteria
Description: bacterial SSU rRNA
Rfam family: Bacterial small subunit ribosomal RNA
Source: RNAcentral
GAUGAACGCUGGCGGCGUGCCUAAUACAUGCAAGUCGAGCGAACAGACGAGGAGCUUGCUCCUUUGACGUUAGCGGCGGGCGGGUGAGUAACACGUGGGUAACCUACCUAUAAGACUGGGAUAACUUCGGGAAACCGGAGCUAAUACCGGAUAAUAUUUCGAACCGCAUGGUUCGAUAGUGAAAGAUGGCUUUGCUAUCACUUAUAGAUGGACCUGCGCCGUAUUAGCUAGUUGGUAAGGUAACGGCUUACCAAGGCAACGAUACGUAGCCGACCUGAGAGGGUGAUCGGCCACACUGGAACUGAGACACGGUCCAGACUCCUACGGGAGGCAGCAGUAGGGAAUCUUCCGCAAUGGGCGAAAGCCUGACGGAGCAACGCCGCGUGAGUGAUGAAGGUCUUCGGAUCGUAAAACUCUGUUAUUAGGGAAGAACAAACGUGUAAGUAACUGUGCACGUCUUGACGGUACCUAAUCAGAAAGCCACGGCUAACUACGUGCCAGCAGCCGCGGUAAUACGUAGGUGGCAAGCGUUAUCCGGAAUUAUUGGGCGUAAAGCGCGCGUAGGCGGUUUUUUAAGUCUGAUGUGAAAGCCCACGGCUCAACCGUGGAGGGUCAUUGGAAACUGGAAAACUUGAGUGCAGAAGAGGAAAGUGGAAUUCCAUGUGUAGCGGUGAAAUGCGCAGAGAUAUGGAGGAACACCAGUGGCGAAGGCGACUUUCUGGUCUGUAACUGACGCUGAUGUGCGAAAGCGUGGGGAUCAAACAGGAUUAGAUACCCUGGUAGUCCACGCCGUAAACGAUGAGUGCUAAGUGUUAGGGGGUUUCCGCCCCUUAGUGCUGCAGCUAACGCAUUAAGCACUCCGCCUGGGGAGUACGACCGCAAGGUUGAAACUCAAAGGAAUUGACGGGGACCCGCACAAGCGGUGGAGCAUGUGGUUUAAUUCGAAGUAACGCGAAGAACCUUACCAAAUCUUGACAUCCUUUGACCCUUCUAGAGAUAGAAGUUUCCCCUUCGGGGGACAAAGUGACAGGUGGUGCAUGGUUGUCGUCAGCUCGUGUCGUGAGAUGUUGGGUUAAGUCCCGCAACGAGCGCAACCCUUAAGCUUAGUUGCCAUCAUUAAGUUGGGCACUCUAAGUUGACUGCCGGUGACAAACCGGAGGAAGGUGGGGAUGACGUCAAAUCAUCAUGCCCCUUAUGAUUUGGGCUACACACGUGCUACAAUGGACAAUACAAAGGGCAGCGAAACCGCGAGGUCAAGCAAAUCCCAUAAAGUUGUUCUCAGUUCGGAUUGUAGUCUGCAACUCGACUACAUGAAGCUGGAAUCGCUAGUAAUCGUAGAUCAGCAUGCUACGGUGAAUACGUUCCCGGGUCU